RNAcentral lists this ribosomal RNA (429 nucleotides) under bacterium. RNAcentral describes it as "partial 16S ribosomal RNA". It matches the Rfam family "Bacterial small subunit ribosomal RNA", at positions 355 to 776 of the family's 1533-position model. The record is from RNAcentral.
UAGGGAAUCUUCCACAAUGGACGCAAGUCUGAUGGAGCAACGCCGCGUGAGUGAAGAAGGUUUUCGGAUCGUAAAGCUCUGUUGUUGGUGAAGAAGGAUAGAGGCAGUAACUGGUCUUUAUUUGACGGUAAUCAACCAGAAAGUCACGGCUAACUACGUGCCAGCAGCCGCGGUAAUACGUAGGUGGCAAGCGUUGUCCGGAUUUAUUGGGCGUAAAGCGGGCGCAGGCGGAAUGAUAAGUCUGAUGUGAAAGCCCACGGCUCAACCGUGGAACUGCAUCGGAAACUGUCAUUCUUGAGUGCAGAAGAGGAGAGUGGAAUUCCAUGUGUAGCGGUGGAAUGCGUAGAUAUAUGGAAGAACACCAGUGGCGAAGGCGGCGCUCUGGUCUGCAACUGACGCUGAGGCUUGAAAGCAUGGGUAGCGAACAGG